This 497-nucleotide ribosomal RNA is filed under the name uncultured bacterium. RNAcentral describes it as "partial 16S ribosomal RNA". It matches the Rfam family "Bacterial small subunit ribosomal RNA", at positions 28 to 507 of the family's 1533-position model. The record is from RNAcentral.
GAUGAACGCUGGCGGCGUGCCUAAUACAUGCAAGUCGAGCGAACAGACGAGGAGCUUGCUCCUCUGACGUUAGCGGCGGACGGGUGAGUAACACGUGGAUAACCUACCUAUAAGACUGGGAUAACUUCGGGAAACCGGAGCUAAUACCGGAUAAUAUAUUGAACCGCAUGGUUCAAUAGUGAAAGACGGUUUUGCUGUCACUUAUAGAUGGAUCCGCGCCGCAUUAGCUAGUUGGUAAGGUAACGGCUUACCAAGGCAACGAUGCGUAGCCGACCUGAGAGGGUGAUCGGCCACACUGGAACUGAGACACGGUCCAGACUCCUACGGGAGGCAGCAGUAGGGAAUCUUCCGCAAUGGGCGAAAGCCUGACGGAGCAACGCCGCGUGAGUGAUGAAGGUCUUCGGAUCGUAAAACUCUGUUAUUAGGGGAGAACAAACGUGUAAGUAACUAUGCACGUCUUGACGGUACCUAAUCAGAAAGCCACGGCUAACUACGUG